UCCGAGUUGACCCCGGCAGUCUCCUACGAGUCCCCGGCCGAACCGCUGGCAACUGGGAGCGAGGGUUGCGCUCGUUGCGGGACUUAACCCAACAUCUCACGACACGAGCUGACGACAGCCAUGCAGCACCUGUGUGCAGGUCCCCGAAGGGAAGGAAUCCAUCUCUGGAAACCGUCCUGCCAUGUCAAGGACUGGUAAGGUUCUGCGCGUUGCUUCGAAUUGAACCACAUGCUCCACCGCUUGUGCGGGCCCCCGUCAAUUUCUUUGAGUUUCAGCCUUGCGGCCGUACUCCCCAGGCGGGGCACUUACUGCGUUAGCGACGGCACUCAGAGGGUCGCUCCCCCAAGCACCUAGUGCCCAUCGUUUACGGCGUGGACUAC
Molecule: unclassified non-coding RNA, 380 nt
Filed under: uncultured bacterium
Lineage: Bacteria
Description: contains 16S-23S intergenic spacer region
Source: RNAcentral